Molecule: ribosomal RNA, 499 nt
Filed under: uncultured bacterium
Lineage: Bacteria
Description: partial 16S ribosomal RNA
Rfam family: Bacterial small subunit ribosomal RNA
Source: RNAcentral
GAUGAACGCUGGCGGCGUGCCUAAUACAUGCAAGUCGAGCGAACAGACGAGAGUGCUUGCACUCUCUGACGUUAGCGGCGGACGGGUGAGUAACACGUGGGUAACCUACCUAUAAGACUGGGAUAACUUCGGGAAACCGGAGCUAAUACCGGAUAAUAUUUAGCUUCGCAUUAAGCAAUAGUGAAAGACGCUUCUGCUGUCACUUAUAGAUGGACCCGCGGUGUAUUAGCUAGUUGGUGAGGUAACGGCUCACCAAGGCAACGAUACAUAGCCGACCUGAGAGGGUGAUCGGCCACACUGGGACUGAGACACGGCCCAGACUCCUACGGGAGGCAGCAGUAGGGAAUCUUCCGCAAUGGACGAAAGUCUGACGGAGCAAUGCCGCGUGAGUGAAGAAGGUUUUCGGAUCGUAAAACUCUGUUGUAAGGGAAGAACAAGUACGUUAGUAACUGAACGUACCUUGACGGUACCUUACCAGAAAGCCACGGCUAACUACGUG